This 873-nucleotide long non-coding RNA is filed under the name Zonotrichia albicollis (white-throated sparrow). RNAcentral describes it as "lncRNA (ENSZALG00000011093.1)". Lineage: Eukaryota; Metazoa; Chordata; Aves; Passeriformes; Passerellidae. The record is from RNAcentral.
AAGCCAUUUAGAGCUGAAUUUGUUAUUCAGAAAAUUUGUGCUCACUUUACUCUGAGUUCUAGGGUUGAAAGCUUCAGUCCUUCUGAGGAGGAAAGCCUGGGGUGGAGUUGAAGGCUGACCAGGUCCUGAUGCAGGGAGGACCCCUCACAGCUGUUUCGAGCAUGCACCACCAGUCUGGCAGCUUCUGGGUAAUUCACACCUGCUCCCUACCCUGUGGUAUUUCUGUCACUGAACAUGCAAGGACCACAUCCCCAUAUCUGGCCAUCCCCAGCUGCCCUGGUUUCAAGUGUUUUUCUUGAUCCCUGACAAAAGGCACAUAAUCUAUGAGCGCUGACAUACCCCAGCUAAAUGAGGCUUCCACGUCUGCCUAGAGAUUGCAACACAGAAAUCAGUGUGAGCUGUAAAACCCUCCCAAGACUCCAGAAAGGUUCUUGAGCCAUUCCUAAAUGCUGACUUUGUUUCCUACACAAGCAUAUUGUAGGGAAGUGUUGUUUGGACUAUACCAGAAGAAAGAAGCAUGAUCAUUGCCUUACUGUAGCAGGAUUUUGUCAAACUUUUAAUUCAUCAAGCCUUAAUACUGUUUGGAAUCCCCUCAAAGUACAAAGACCUUCAGAACCCCUAGAAAACCCUCAAAAAACCACACUGUGAGUUGUAAAGCAUAGCUCAAAUAUCUACAACCAAGCCACAGUCUAUGUGUUUUUGAUACAGCACAAUGGAUCACUGAAGAACUCUGCAACUGCUCACAGAGAAAUCCUAAACCUGUAAAUCAUGAACGUGGCAGAUUGCAACAGUCCUUUCAAAUAUUUUACAGUUUCUGGUACAUUUGAGGAUUUAGAGAACAGCAGGUUUUUACAUACAUAUCUCCUCUGCGCA